Molecule: ribosomal RNA, 468 nt
Filed under: uncultured bacterium
Lineage: Bacteria
Description: partial 16S ribosomal RNA
Rfam family: Bacterial small subunit ribosomal RNA
Source: RNAcentral
GACGAACGCUGGCGGCGUGCUUAACACAUGCAAGUCGAACGAAAAGACCCGGCUUUUGCUGGGUGCUCGAGAGGCGAACGGGUGUGUAUAACAUGUGUAUCCUGUCCCUGACAGUGGGAGAACUUCUCGAAACUGGGGCUAUUAUCGCAUAGGAUAUACUGCUGCACGUUGGGGGUUGGAGAGAUUCGGCUGUGGGGGAUGGACUCGAGGCUUAUCCGCUGGCUGGUCUAGUAGGGGCUUACCACGGCUUUGACGGGUAGGCGGCCUGAGAGAUUGAACGGCCACAUUGGGACUGAGAUACGGCCCAGACUCCUACGGGAGGCAGCAGUGGGAAAUAUUGCACAGUGGCCGGAAGUCUGAUGCAGCAACGCCCCGAUCGUGAUGCCGGCCUUCGGGUUGUAAACCGCUUUCGCAGUAAAUAAAGCGGGAGUGACGGUAAUGGGUAAGGAAGCACCGGCUAACUACGUG